AGAGUUUGAUCCUGGCUCAGAAUGAAUGCUAUUGGUAUGCUUAACACAUGCAAGUUGAAUGUUUCUUAAAACAUAGCGAACGGGUGAGUAAUGUAUAAAUAAUCUGCUUUUUAAUUCAAAAUAAUUAGUUGAAAGUAAUUUGAGCUAAAAAUGUUGAAUAAAAAAUAAAGUGAUAGAACGUUAAAAAAGGAGUUUAUAUAAGAUUAGGUAGUUGGUAAUUUAAAAGCUUACCAAGCCGAAGAUCUUUAGUUGGUUUGGAAGAAUUAUCAACCACAUAGAGACUGAGACAAGGCUCUAACUUCAAGGAAGGCAGCAGUGAGGAAUAUUGGACAAUGAGCGAAAGCUUGAUCCAGCAAUACCAAGUGGGUGAAGAAGGCAUAUAGUUGUAAAGCUCUGUCGAUAAAGAGGAAAAAAGACCUGAAUUAUAAAGGAAGUUCCGGCUAAUUUCGUGCCAGCAGCCGCGGUAAUACGAGAGGAGCGAGCAUUAUUCAGAAUGAUUGGGCGUAAAGGGUUUGUAGGUUGUUUUUUAAGUUGAUAAAUAAAAAAUAAAGCUUAACUUUAUUCCAUUUUUCAAAACUAUUAAACUAGAGUAUAAUAAUAGAGGAUAAUAGAAUUUUUAUUGGAGGGAUAAAAUCUGUUGAUAAUAAAAGGAAUAUCAAAAGCGAAGGCAUUUAUCUGGGUUUAUACUGACACUGAAAAACGAAAGCAAAGGUAGCGAAUGGGAUUAGAUACCCCCGUAGUCC
Molecule: ribosomal RNA, 743 nt
Filed under: uncultured bacterium
Lineage: Bacteria
Description: partial 16S ribosomal RNA
Rfam family: Bacterial small subunit ribosomal RNA
Source: RNAcentral